AUGAUGAAAGCAUAUCAAAGAGGGAAUGAUGACGUACCUUUACCAUCCAUCGUCACAUCCACUGCUUGUCCUGGGUAACACCCAAAAGAGAAGAAAAUAAAGACACUCUUGCCACAGAGGUGCACAGAGAUGGAGGCGCUACUACCUCUGGAGGAGGGAUGGACUUUCAGGGACCCCAUGAUUUGCAGCAGUUCAGUCAAAAGCAAUACAAAGAGCAAAGGACAGGGGCUGUUAUCUUGCCCAAGAGCUCCUCAAGGAGAGGAUAUGCCAUUGGAAAGGAGGCUCUUCCAGUCAAAUUUGGGGCUAGUGGGGUUAUCAUGUUUGAUACCAACUAGGAACAAGAUCCCCUUAGAGGCUUCCAACUGAGGAGGAUUCCAAAAGAGAGCUCCACGGCUGAAAUGAUUCAAAAGAAGCCAACGCCUUCUCACUGAGCCAGCCCUUUGGAAUAUGGACCCCUACUCCCAUGGCAUCCUUCCCCCCAUCCAGCGCCUCAGGCCCAUCUACACGCUUCUAUCUACAGGCUUUGCUUCUUCUCUAGCAAGGAGUGAAGAAGGAAAAGAAUCACUGGAGGUGUGUCAGAAGCAGUCACCAUAUCUUACGGGGCCUUGUAAGCCAGGGACAGAGUUUGAGAUUUUACUUCAAAUGGAGGCAAAACCAGGGGAGAGCCAUGCAGAGACACCCCUUGAUGAACUCUGCUUCACUCCAAUCACUCUGGUAGCUAAGAAAAGUACAUUCUCUCUCCUUUUGCAGUUCUCCUGGUGCCUAGCACAGGGCCAAGUGCAUGGUAGAUGUGAGGCUAGCCCUUGUGGCCUUUGCUGAUGAAGGACAGUGAAGGGGAUAAGAAAACAUGAAGACAUUUUGGGCUACAAGGGAGCAAACUACUGAAAAACUACUGUGACCCCCUCUCUUUAUCCAUGGAGAUGCUGAGGCCUAGGAGAGGGAAUUGACUUGUCCAAAGUCAACCAGAGCCAGGGUUAGUAUCCAGGUUUCUGCAGAUUGCAGCUCCUCAGAUAAAAGUAAGUGACUUGCCUCUCUUCUCUCAUAUCCAGAAUUGAUCUCAAACACUGUCAUGAAUCCCCAAGGGCCAGAGAGACACACAGCAUAGACCAAGACUCAUCUCUCGUCCUGCCAAGGGACUUCCUGUUACACACGCGGCACAACGUACAGCUCCAGGGAGAGCCCAGCCUGUUCUCCAGUCUCCAGUCAGCUCAGGGAGGCUAUAUGAAGUGAGACUUUCCUGGCCAACUUGACAAUGGUGAGUCAGGCUGGCAUAAGCUAGCUGCGAAGAGGACGCAGCCUGGACAAGCCUGAAUUAAUUGUGUGCAUGGAGCAAACAUCAUCAUCUGGAUGGACCCAAACCAGGGCUUGCCUGGAGCAUUCAGACCCUUUCAGAUGGCCCUGCCCAGAGCUGCUCAGCACUCUUGGAAGGUGUCUGGGUUUGGGGAGGCUUGAGGGCUGCUCUACCCAUGCUCCAGAAAAGGAUUUGUUCUCCACCCCUUGACCCGUCUGCCUCCAUACGAGCCCAUUUCCUCCAUGACAUGGUGACCGGGCUCAUACACACAAUAACAAAAAUAAUAAUAACCAUGCUUAUCAAGCACUAACCAUGUCAGAGGCACUGUUCUAAACAUUGUACAUGCAUUAACUCAUUAAGAGGCAGGGACUACUAUUGUCCCCGUUUUGCAGAUGAGGAAACUGAGGUAUGAGACAGUGAAGCAACUCGCCCAGAGUAAAAGCCAAGCCCCUGAGAUAGACGGAGCUGGGAGUCAGGAGUCUGCAGAGGUUGGGCUCCCAACUGCCCAGCUGCACCACACACAGAAGCUCCUUCCCAAGAUGGGUGUCCCAGGGAGAGAGGCAAUGCAAGAGCUGGAGUGAGUUUUGAGGCUGCUGUGGGCUCCACCUAUCCUCCUUGUUGGUUCCAAUCAAGUGAGAAUGAGACACAAGCAGCCAGACGGAGAUCAAAAAGGAGUAGGAGCUCUAGUUCAGAUCACGAUGCACUGACAAAGGGGCAGGGCUCCUCACUCCCAGGCCCCAAAAGAGAGACCGAAGCAGAGAGGACAGAGACAAGGCAGGACCGGCAGAGGGAGGCCAUCCUGGCUGCUGACUGCACAGAGGCUGCAAGUGCUCUGCUUGCUUACCAGGCCCCCACUGACCUGUGCUACGCUCAGUUCUGUAUACUAGGGAACACCAAUCAAUGUCGGUGGAUCGCACAGGUGGAUGAAUGGACAUAGAUGGAUGGACAGACAGACAAUGGGAUGCAAGGCCAAAGCAGGCACCCACAUGCACCUAGAAACAAGAGGAGAAGGAAAAAAGGCAUGCCAGCACUUGCCAUCAGAGCCCAGAGGGCCUGGGAGCCAGAGAUGAGUGGCCAGGAUCAAGUGGGCUGUCCCUGGACCAGGAGGCUCUUCCUCACUCCGGAGCCAGCUGAGGGUUGAUUUCUGAAACUCUCCUUCAUUUUCACAGCAGCCCUGGGGAGGGCAGAGGAGCCAACACACCAGCUAGUAAAAUUAACAGCUGCUCUUUACAGGGCGUGCCGGAGAGCCCAGCACAUGGCGCAAGGCCUGCAGACCAGCAGCUGCUGCGAGCUGAGGUGCCUGGCCUGCAGACCCUGAUCAGGGGUCCUCUUGGGGGUAAGGCUUAGACUCGGAGCUGCCGGCAGGGCCUGGGGUGUGGGGGCUGCUGAAGCAAUGGGCAGGUGGAUGGAGAGACUCAAGGAAUGAUGCUGCUACAAAAUUCUCUGACACAUUCUCCUGACCUUGCAAACUGGAAAUCCCUAUGUUCACCCCAGCUAGGAAUCUGCUAUGGAACUUGGGGAUCCACCUGGCUCUGGCCUCUCCAUCUCUAAUGCAGUACUUAGUUGAGCUUGGGGAAGUUAAUGUAGACAUGUCCCCAUGAGAAGGGGACAGAUGUUACAUCUUAUCUAUUACCUAUGUCAUAGGCAACUUAUGGAGCAAGUCCUGUAGGCCACUUAAAGAGGAAUAUUGACAGGCAUACAGGGAGUGGCAAUUGU
This is a non-coding RNA of Macaca mulatta (Rhesus monkey), 3007 nucleotides long. Lineage: Eukaryota; Metazoa; Chordata; Mammalia; Primates; Cercopithecidae. The record is from RefSeq and is a predicted model, not a curated record.